This 745-nucleotide ribosomal RNA is filed under the name uncultured Pseudomonadota bacterium. Its description in RNAcentral is "bacterial SSU rRNA". It matches the Rfam family "Bacterial small subunit ribosomal RNA", at positions 28 to 762 of the family's 1533-position model. The record is from RNAcentral. Lineage: Bacteria; Pseudomonadati; Pseudomonadota.
AUUGAACGCUGGCGGCAGGCCUAACACAUGCAAGUCGAACGGUAACAGGAAGCAGCUUGCUGCUUCGCUGACGAGUGGCGGACGGGUGAGUAAUGUCUGGGAAGCUGCCUGAUGGAGGGGGAUAACUACUGGAAACGGUUGCUAAUACCGCAUAAUGUCGCAAGACCAAAGAGGGGGACCUUCGGGCCUCUUGCCAUCGGAUGUGCCCAGAUGGGAUUAGCUUGUUGGUGGGGUAACGGCUCACCAAGGCGACGAUCCCUAGCUGGUCUGAGAGGAUGACCAGCCACACUGGAACUGAGACACGGUCCAGACUCCUACGGGAGGCAGCAGUGGGGAAUAUUGCACAAUGGGCGCAAGCCUGAUGCAGCCAUGCCGCGUGUAUGAAGAAGGCCUUCGGGUUGUAAAGUACUUUCAGCGGGGAGGAAGGGAGUAAAGUUAAUACCUUUGCUCAUUGACGUUACCCGCAGAAGAAGCACCGGCUAACUCCGUGCCAGCAGCCGCGGUAAUACGGAGGGUGCAAGCGUUAAUCGGAAUUACUGGGCGUAAAGCGCACGCAGGCGGUUUGUUAAGUCAGAUGUGAAAUCCCCGGGCUCAACCUGGGAACUGCAUCUGAUACUGGCAAGCUUGAGUCUCGUAGAGGGGGGUAGAAUUCCAGGUGUAGCGGUGAAAUGCGUAGAGAUCUGGAGGAAUACCGGUGGCGAAGGCGGCCCCCUGGACGAAGACUGACGCUCAGGUGCGAAAGCGU